AGUGAACGCUGGCGGUAGGCCUAACACAUGCAAGUCGAACGGCAGCACAGGAGAGCUUGCUCUCUGGGUGGCGAGUGGCGGACGGGUGAGGAAUACAUCGGAAUCUACUCUGUCGUGGGGGAUAACGUAGGGAAACUUACGCUAAUACCGCAUACGACCUACGGGUGAAAGCAGGGGAUCUUCGGACCUUGCGCGAUUGAAUGAGACGAUGUCGUAUUAGCUAGUUGGCGGGGUAAAGGCCCACCAAGGCGACGAUCCGUAGCUGGUCUGAGAGGAUGAUCAGCCACACUGGAACUGAGACACGGUCCAGACUCCUACGGGAGGCAGCAGUGGGGAAUAUUGGACAAUGGGCGCAAGCCUGAUCCAGCCAUACCGCGUAGGUGAAGAAGGCCUUCGGGUUGUAAAGCCCUUUUGUUGGGAAAGAAAUCCAGCUGGCUAAUACUCGGUUGGGAUGACGGUACCCAAAGAAUAAGCACCGGCUAACUUCGUGCCAGCAGCCGCGGUAA
RNAcentral lists this ribosomal RNA (506 nucleotides) under uncultured bacterium. RNAcentral's name for it is "partial 16S ribosomal RNA". It matches the Rfam family "Bacterial small subunit ribosomal RNA", at positions 29 to 523 of the family's 1533-position model. The record is from RNAcentral.